Molecule: transfer RNA, 73 nt
Filed under: Kalophrynus palmatissimus
Lineage: Eukaryota; Metazoa; Chordata; Amphibia; Anura; Microhylidae
Description: tRNA-Asn
Source: RNAcentral
UAGAAUGAAGCUCGUUGGAUUGAGUGUUUAGCUGUUAACUAAAAUUUUGUGGGAUCAAAGCCCACCUUUCUAG